GUAGUGGCUCUGUGGUAGAGUGCUUGCCUGGCAUGUGUGAGGGCCUGAGUUCUAUCCCCAGCACCACA
RNAcentral lists this transfer RNA (68 nucleotides) under Marmota monax (woodchuck). Its description in RNAcentral is "tRNA.Ala". Lineage: Eukaryota; Metazoa; Chordata; Mammalia; Rodentia; Sciuridae. The record is from RNAcentral.